RNAcentral lists this small nucleolar RNA (49 nucleotides) under Pyrobaculum calidifontis JCM 11548. Its description in RNAcentral is "PCAsR117". The record is from RNAcentral. Lineage: Archaea; Thermoproteati; Thermoproteota; Thermoprotei; Thermoproteales; Thermoproteaceae.
GUGACGAAGAUGAACCCCCCUGACUAGUGAAGAAGUCGUUGCUCGCCGA